GAGCACGUAGGCGGGUCUGUAAGUCGGAUGUGAAAGCCCUCGGCUCAACCGAGGAAGUGCAUCCGAAACUGCCGCUCUUGAGGGCAGGAGGGGAGAGUGGAACUCUUGGUGGAGCGGUGAAAUGCGUAGAUAUCAGGGGGAACGCCGGCGGCGAAAGCGACUCUCUGGCUUGUUACUGACGCUGAGGUGCGAAAGCCAGGGGAGCGAACGGGAUUAGAUACCCCGGUAGUCCUGGCCGUAAACGAUGGGCACUAAGUAGUGGGGUUU
This 267-nucleotide ribosomal RNA is filed under the name uncultured anaerobic ammonium-oxidizing bacterium. RNAcentral describes it as "partial 16S ribosomal RNA". It matches the Rfam family "Bacterial small subunit ribosomal RNA", at positions 565 to 831 of the family's 1533-position model. The record is from RNAcentral.